RNAcentral lists this ribosomal RNA (254 nucleotides) under uncultured bacterium. Its description in RNAcentral is "partial 16S ribosomal RNA". It matches the Rfam family "Bacterial small subunit ribosomal RNA", at positions 524 to 776 of the family's 1533-position model. The record is from RNAcentral.
UACGUAGGGUGCGAGCGUUGUCCGGAAUUAUUGGGCGUAAAGAGCUCGUAGGCGGUCUGUCGCGUCGAUCGUGAAAACUUGGGGCUUAACCCUGAGCUUGCGGUCGAUACGGGCAUGACUGGAGUUCGGCAGGGGAGACUGGAAUUCCUGGUGUAGCGGUGAAAUGCGCAGAUAUCAGGAGGAACACCGGUGGCGAAGGCGACGUCCUGGACCGGUAUUGACGCUGAGGCGCGAAAGCCAGGGGAGCAAACGGG